CACGUAGGGCGCGAGCGUUGUCCGGAAUUAUUGGGCGUAAAGAGCUCGUAGGCGGCCUGUUGCGUCCGCUGUGAAAGCCCGGGGCUUAACCCCGGGUCUGCAGUGGAUACGGGCAGGCUAGAGGUAGGCAGGGGAGAAUGGAAUUCCCGGUGUAGCGGUGAAAUGCGCAGAUAUCGGGAGGAACACCGGUGGCGAAGGCGGUUCUCUGGGCCUUACCUGACGCUGAGGAGCGAAAGCGUGGGGAG
This 245-nucleotide ribosomal RNA is filed under the name uncultured bacterium. RNAcentral describes it as "partial 16S ribosomal RNA". It matches the Rfam family "Bacterial small subunit ribosomal RNA", at positions 524 to 768 of the family's 1533-position model. The record is from RNAcentral.